GUAUGGACUGACAGCACAGAGACACCGAUGUCAGUCUGUAUGGACUGACAGCACAGAGAUCAACAGUGGUCUGUAUGGACUGACAAAACAGCAUGAUAACACCAACAUUGGUCUGUAUGGACUGACAGCACAGGACCCACAACGUUGGUCUGUACCCACUGAUAGAACACCAUAAUAACACCAACAUCAGUGUGUAUGGACUGACAGCACAGAGACCAACAUUGGUCUGUAUGGACUGAUAGCACAGAGAUCAACAUUGCUCUGUAUGGACUGACAUAACAGCAUAACACCAACAUUGGAGUGUAUGGACUGACUGCACAGGGACCCACAUCGGCCUGUAUGGACUGACAGCACAGAGACCAACAUUGCUCUGUAUGGACUGACUGCACAGAGACAGCAACAUCGGUUUAUAUAGACUGACUGCACAGAGACCCACAUCGGUGUGUACAGACUGAUAGCACAGAGACACCAACGUCAGUCUGUAUUGGUGUGUAUGGACUGACAGCACAGAGACCCACAUUGGUGUGUAUGGACUGACAGCACAGAGAUCAACAGUGGUCUGUAUGGACUGACAGCACAGAGACCCACUUCGGUGUGUAUGGACUGAUAGCACAGAGACACCAAUGUCAGUCUGUAUGGACUGACAGCACAGAGACCAACAUUGUUCUGUAUGGACUGACUGCACAGAGACCCACAUCGGUCUGUAUGGACUGAUGUAACAGCAUGAUAACACCAACAUUGGCCUGUAUGGACUGACAGCACAGAGACACCGAUGUCAGUCUGUAUGGACUGACAGCACAGAGACCAACAGUGGUCUGUAUGGACUGACAUAACAGCAUAACACCAACAUUGGAGUGUAUGGACUGACUGCACAGGGACCCACAUCGGCCUGUAUGGACUGACAGCACAGAGAUCAACAGUGGUCUGUAUGGACUGACUGCACAGAGACCCACAUCGGUCUGUAUGGACUGAUGUAACAGCAUGAUAACACCAACAUUGGCCUGUAUGGACUGACAGCACAGAGACACCGAUGUCAGUCUGUAUGGACUGAUAGCACAGAGACCAACAGUGGUCUGUAUGGACUGACAUAACAGCAUAACACCAACAUUGGAGUGUAUGGACUGACUGCACAGGGACCCACUUCGGCCUGUAUGGACUGACAGCACAGAGA
RNAcentral lists this long non-coding RNA (1171 nucleotides) under Gallus gallus (chicken). Lineage: Eukaryota; Metazoa; Chordata; Aves; Galliformes; Phasianidae. The record is from RNAcentral.